GGUGGCUCAGUGGCAGAGUGCUUGCCUUGUAUGCAAGAGGCCCUGGGUUCAAUUCCUCAGCACCA
Molecule: transfer RNA, 65 nt
Filed under: Dipodomys ordii (Ord's kangaroo rat)
Lineage: Eukaryota; Metazoa; Chordata; Mammalia; Rodentia; Heteromyidae
Rfam family: tRNA
About the family: Transfer RNA (tRNA) molecules are approximately 80 nucleotides in length. Their secondary structure includes four short double-helical elements and three loops (D, anti-codon, and T loops). Further hydrogen bonds mediate the characteristic L-shaped molecular structure. tRNAs have two regions of fundamental functional importance: the anti-codon, which is responsible for specific mRNA codon recognition, and the 3' end, to which the tRNAs corresponding amino acid is attached (by aminoacyl-tRNA synthetases). tRNAs cope with the degeneracy of the genetic code in two manners: having more than one tRNA (with a specific anti-codon) for a particular amino acid; and 'wobble' base-pairing, i.e. permitting non-standard base-pairing at the 3rd anti-codon position.
Source: Rfam by way of RNAcentral